GAAUUUUCUUCCAAAAAUACCUUUAAAAAACUUUUAAAAAGUAAUAAUGCAAGUUAAUAAGAAGAAAACAAGUAUGUAUUGGGGCGAGGGAGGAGAUCCCGGAUAUAUCUCACUCCUGAUAAAGAGGGAGACCUAACAGUCUUCAAAGCCUGAGUUCUUUUAACUCUUUGGAUGGCUACUGUUGGGAAGUCCUUGGGCUUUUUGCUUGGCCUGGUGGUCUAAAUAUAAUAAAGAUUUGUGUCAUGAAUCUUGAUUGGAUUUGUGUGACUGACCCUGGUGGUUUCUGUGUGAGGCCGCCCUCUUCUGAGGCUGACCUCCACCCCUGGCUUCUAAGUGCCCUUCUUCUUGCUCCAAGAGUAGCCAUGUCCCUUCUCUCUGGGAGUUGGGUGGUUGGUUGAGAAGGUCCAGCGCUUUUGGGUCACCCCUGGUUUUGAUACCACUGGUGACCAGUGUCCUGCUCCCUCAUGGUUGAAGCAUAACAUUGGAGAAGCCCACCGAGGGCAAGCAUACGAAGCAGGGGUUAUUUAAAAGGGGGUAACAUAGACUUUUCCUGGGAGGGAGAAGGGGGCCGGAGCUGGUGGCCUGGUAUCCCAAGCAGCGAGGGUGUUCUGCCCUCUUAUGUGUCCUAGGCUUCCUUUGUUCUCCUUUCUCUCUGUCCUUCCUGCUAGCUCACACCUUGGUGGGGGGAUGGCCAAAAGGUGAGAAGCAGAUGGGCUAUAGGGGCCAAGUUGAAGUGCUCUGGGCAGGA
RNAcentral lists this long non-coding RNA (748 nucleotides) under Marmota monax (woodchuck). Lineage: Eukaryota; Metazoa; Chordata; Mammalia; Rodentia; Sciuridae. The record is from RNAcentral.